RNAcentral lists this ribosomal RNA (394 nucleotides) under uncultured eukaryote. RNAcentral describes it as "SSU rRNA". It matches the Rfam family "Eukaryotic small subunit ribosomal RNA", at positions 587 to 972 of the family's 1831-position model. The record is from RNAcentral.
AGCUCCAAUAGCGUAUAUUAAAGUUGUUGCAGUUAAAAAGCUCGUAGUUGGAUCUCGGCCGUGGACGAGCGGUCCGCCUCACGGCGGUUUACUGCUCGAUUUCUGGGCCGCUACUUUGGUUAAAAACCCGGGUUUCUGCUCUUGACUGAGUGGCCCGGGUGGCCGAAACGUUUACUUUGAAAAAAUUAGAGUGUUCAAAGCAGUCGUUUCCCGUCCGAAUAAUGGUGCAUGGAAUAAUGGAAUAGGACCUCGAGUCUAUUUUGUUGGUUUUGAGAAGUUCGAGGUAAUGAUUAAGAGGGACGGCCGGGGGCAUUCGUAUUGCGGCGUUAGAGGUGAAAUUCUUGGAUCGUCGCAAGACGAACAACAGCGAAAGCAUUUGCCAAGAAUGUUUUCA